Numida meleagris (helmeted guineafowl) is the source of this 748-nucleotide long non-coding RNA. RefSeq lists it as uncharacterized. The record is from RefSeq and is a predicted model, not a curated record. Lineage: Eukaryota; Metazoa; Chordata; Aves; Galliformes; Numididae. The transcript has 3 exons.
GUUCGCAAAACACAGUUUUUCCCAGAUGGCAGCUUGCUGCAGGUUUCUUAAUACCUUGAACUGCAAGAUACCCAGUGUAGGACAUCCAGGUUCAGAGAAAAAACAAGGAGGGGAGAAGUCAUCCAAAGGCAUGGGCUCCAAAUUGGUGCAGAUUGGAAAACCACUACUUGUUCACAGGGGCUGAGUCCUGUAUGAAGCCUAGCAGCACACAGUGCAGGUCUCAAAGAUGGUCCAUACAUAACCAAUAGAAUCCAAAUAUUGAAGAUACCACUUGAUCACAAAGCUUUUUCCAGAACUGCACUCCCAGAAGGAGGGGAUGCUAUGUGAAUAAGGUUGCUAUCUGAAAGUUUUACCCCUGUUUUCUUGUCACUUUUUCCCCCCUCAAGGGUUUUUGUAACUCAAAUGAUUUCAGUCCACGCCCCAAAAAGCUGCAUUCCAGAGAGGGGAAUGCAUUCUAGGUGUGAUGUAGAUGUAGAAACAAACUGCAAAGGUGCUAAAACCAAGAAUAUUUUAAGCCAGCUUUGCUGCUAAAGGGUACUUUACACUGGAACCUUUGGUCUUAAUCUCCAGAGCCUUUGUCCAGUCUGUUUUCUCUCAUUUUCCCUCUGCUAUGCUAUAAAGGUCACUCUGGCAAAAAGUUUAUCAGUAUGUGUAACAGCUGCUUUAUUUGGGAACGUUGGCAUGAAUUUCUCCCAUUUUGGUGUAUCAUAAGUUAGCCGUUUGCAUUUUCCAGCACUGAUAAGUACGG